Molecule: long non-coding RNA, 444 nt
Organism: Drosophila mauritiana
Lineage: Eukaryota; Metazoa; Arthropoda; Insecta; Diptera; Drosophilidae
Exons: 2
Source: RefSeq, a predicted model, not a curated record
UUCAAUUUUCUGAGCUAUUCCACCAGAAUUCUCACAUUUCCCUGCUGUCAGCAUUCUAUUCUUCCAGUCUUCUGCUGGCUUUUAGCUUUGUUGUUGUCGCCCUUGUUGUUUGAUUAAUUUGUUUUCAAAAGAAACGAAUUCUCGGAAAUUCUACGAAUGCAUUCCAGUGUGUUGGCUCUGGUGUGUGCAUUCUGCUCCACAGAAUCCGAAUCCGAACCCGAAUCUGAUUGUGGAUCUGGAUCUGAAUCCCCUUGGAAGCGUUCUAAAUUUGCGGAUGUUUACAAGCUUGGCACCCAAAAAAGAAGACAACGCAAACAUCGCACCAUUCUAGCACUGAAAAUAAAAUUAACCAUAUUCUAAUUUAAUACCUUCAUGUAAAAGCACAUCUAGCGCAAAACUUAAAGACUUGUAAUCAAUAUCUAUAAUAUAGAAUCCCGAAAAUCA